GACGAACGCUGGCGGCGUGCUUAACACAUGCAAGUCGAACGGAAAGGCCCUGCUUUUGUGGGGUGCUCGAGUGGCGAACGGGUGAGUAACACGUGAGUAACCUGCCCUUGACUUUGGGAUAACUUCAGGAAACUGGGGCUAAUACCGGAUAGGAGCUCCUGCUGCAUGGUGGGGGUUCGAAAGUUUCGGCGGUUGGGGAUGGACUCGCGGCUUAUCAGCUUGUUGGUGGGGUAGUGGCUUACCAAGGCUUUGACGGGUAGCCGGCCUGAGAGGGUGACCGGCCACAUUGGGACUGAGAUACGGCCCAGACUCCUACGGGAGGCAGCAGUGGGGAAUAUUGCACAAUGGGCGGAAGCCUGAUGCAGAAACGCCGCGUGCGGGAUGACGGCCUUCGGGUUGUAAACCGCUUUCGCCUGUGACGAAGCGUGAGUGACGGUAAUGGGUAAAGAAGCACCGGCUAACUACGUG
This 468-nucleotide ribosomal RNA is filed under the name uncultured bacterium. RNAcentral's name for it is "partial 16S ribosomal RNA". It matches the Rfam family "Bacterial small subunit ribosomal RNA", at positions 28 to 507 of the family's 1533-position model. The record is from RNAcentral.